GGCAACGUGGCGGAGUGGUUAUCGCGCUAGCCUAGAACUUUAAACCGAAAGCUAGUUCCUUCGGGAGCGUCAGUUCGAGUCUGGCCGUUGUCG
RNAcentral lists this transfer RNA (93 nucleotides) under Blumeria graminis f. sp. tritici. It matches the Rfam family "tRNA". From Rfam's summary of the family: Transfer RNA (tRNA) molecules are approximately 80 nucleotides in length. Their secondary structure includes four short double-helical elements and three loops (D, anti-codon, and T loops). The record is from Rfam by way of RNAcentral. Lineage: Eukaryota; Fungi; Ascomycota; Leotiomycetes; Helotiales; Erysiphaceae. RNAcentral also lists the same sequence under 1 other name.